AGAGUUUGAUCAUGGCUCAGAGUGAACGCUGGCGGCGUGCCUAACACAUGCAAGUCGAGCGAAGUGGCAGCUGUAGCAAUACAGUAUGUGCUUAGCGGCAGACGGGUGAUUAACACGUAGAUAACCUACCUCUUAGAGGGGGAUAGCCCGCCGAAAGGCGGGGUAAUACCGCGUAAGAUGAGGGCCUGGCAUCAGGCUUUCAUGAAACAUCCGCAAGGAUGGCUGAGAGAGGGAUCUGCGGCCUAUCAGCUUGUUGGCGAGGUAACGGCUCACCAAGGCUACGACGGGUAACCGACCUGAAGGGGUGAUCGGUCACACUGACACUGAGACACGGGUCAGACUCCUACGGGAGGCAGCAGUGAGGAAUUUUGGACAAUGGGGGAAACCCUGAUCCAGCGACGCCGCGUGAAGGAUGAAGGUCUUCGGAUUGUAAACUUCUUUUGUCUGGGAAUAAGAAAUUCGUGGAAACACGGAGAGUGAAGGUACCAGGCGAAUAAGCCACGGCUAACUUCGUGCCAGCAGCCGCGGUAAUACGAAGGUGGCAAGCGUUACUCGGAAUUACUAGGCGUAAAGGGCAGGUAGGUGGUUUGGUUAGUCUGUUGUGAAAGCUCCCGGCUUAACUGGGAGAGGUCAACAGAUACUGCCGGACUUGAGUAUGGGAGAGGGUACUGGAAUUCCCGGUGUAGCGGUGAAAUGCGCAGAGAUCGGGAGGAACACCAACGGCGAAAGCAGGUACCUGGACCAUUACUGACACUCAGCUGCGAAAGCUAGGGGAGCAAACAGGAUUAGAUACCCUAGUAGUCC
RNAcentral lists this ribosomal RNA (804 nucleotides) under uncultured bacterium. Its description in RNAcentral is "bacterial SSU rRNA". It matches the Rfam family "Bacterial small subunit ribosomal RNA", at positions 8 to 796 of the family's 1533-position model. The record is from RNAcentral.